This is a long non-coding RNA of Harmonia axyridis, 835 nucleotides long. RefSeq lists it as uncharacterized. The transcript is spliced from 2 exons. The record is from RefSeq and is a predicted model, not a curated record. Lineage: Eukaryota; Metazoa; Arthropoda; Insecta; Coleoptera; Coccinellidae.
CGUCAAUUUGGCAGUAAUUUUUAUUACUCUGGUGACGGUGUUGUGUGCACGUGCUCUCGAAACGUCACGUAAGUGUCAGUUUUCAUGUUUGAACUAUUUGGUCUAUCUUUGUUAAUUAUGAACCUAUUCAUACGUAAAUUUCCCAAAUUGUAGUUACAUAAGAAAGGAAUCUUAUUGCUUUAGUAAUGUUUCAAUUGAUUUUGUUAGUUUGCCAGAAUGUUCGUAUAUUAAAGUGAUUUAGGGUCGUAUGUUCCUUUCUGGCAGGGCUGGUUGUUCCGCGGAAAAACUGAACCAAAUCGACUUUCAAUCGUAUUUAAAAUUAUCAUGACACAUUUUUUUUUAUUCUAAGUAUGCGAAACUACAAGACAGAUAGAGGUAAGACCUCUUGGACAAUUGUUACGUCAAGCUUCCCCUGCUGUUACCAACGACGGAAAAUCUGUUAAAACUGUGGCAAGAGAAAUUGAAUUUUCCGCAUGACCUUACAUUGACUUCUAGAAAAUGAUGUUUACGACAGACGACUAUUUAAACAUACAAGCCAGAAAAAAAGGAAUGGCUAAAAAACAGACAGAAAAAAAGACAAACUGAUGAAGGCAUCACAAGGACUGGAGCAGAAAAAUCAAAGAAACAUGAAAAGUAAAUGAUUUAUAGAUUUUAUAGCUGAGAAACAUCCGAGCCUGGACAGGCAUUCGAAAUGCAGGUCAACAUUUCCAUAUGGCAGAAGAUCGAGAAGCCUUUGCUAUGAUGAUCGCCAACGUCGAAUAACUCUGAUAUGGCACAUAAAGAAGAAGGACUUAUUUUAACUGAAUAAAAAAAUUCAUACAAACCAGUAACACAA